AUUGUUCUUGCUGGUGUGGUAUGUUCACGGCUGAAAAGAUGGUCAGAAGGGGAAAGGAGGAAGUGAGAAGAAAGAAACAGGGAAAUGACAGAGUGUUGCUCAGUUACCCAGGCUGGAGUGCAAUGGCAUGAUCUUGGCUCACUGCAGCCUCCACCUCCUGGGUUCAAGCGGUUCUCGUGCCUCAGUCUCCCAAGUAGCUGGGAUUACAGCUGAGGGUGGUGGUGCGUGCUAUACUCAGCUACUCAGGAGGCUGAGGUGGGAGGAUCACCUGAGCCCAGAAAGUCAAGUCUGCAGUGAGCUAUGAUCGUGCCACUGCACUCCAGCCUGGGAGA
This 332-nucleotide long non-coding RNA is filed under the name Homo sapiens (human). Its description in RNAcentral is "PCED1B antisense RNA 1". The record is from RNAcentral. Lineage: Eukaryota; Metazoa; Chordata; Mammalia; Primates; Hominidae.